AGUCCCGUAGUCUAGUGGUCAAGGAUAGGGGCCUUUGGAGCCUCGGACGCAGGUUCGAAUCCUGCCGGGACUA
This 73-nucleotide transfer RNA is filed under the name Candidatus Aenigmatarchaeota archaeon. RNAcentral describes it as "tRNA-Gln". It matches the Rfam family "tRNA". From Rfam's summary of the family: Transfer RNA (tRNA) molecules are approximately 80 nucleotides in length. Their secondary structure includes four short double-helical elements and three loops (D, anti-codon, and T loops). Lineage: Archaea; Nanobdellati; Candidatus Aenigmatarchaeota. The record is from RNAcentral.